GGAAAUUCAAAUAGCAAAAGUUGAUGAUUCAUGAUGUCCAGUAUUCAUACACAUUCAUUAAAUGAGAACAAAUUGAAACUUAAUGGUUCAAACAAGCUUUACUUGAGGAUCUAUUGCAGAAAGUAUGAUUCAACAUCAGUAUACAAAGAUUUGAAUCUAAUUUAGUAAGGAUAUUACUCCUAGGAUGAACUGGAUGUAUUGGAUUCAAUACUGUAAUUGCCUCUACCCCACUGUAUGAUGUUUAGAAUUCUGCCUCUUCUUCCUUUUCUUGCGUGUAUGUCUCUGUCUCUUGCUCUCUGUCUCUGUCCCCCGUUUGCUUGGAAUUGUUGCUAUCUUUUU
Molecule: long non-coding RNA, 339 nt
Filed under: Populus tremula
Lineage: Eukaryota; Viridiplantae; Streptophyta; Magnoliopsida; Malpighiales; Salicaceae
Description: long non-coding RNA (PTRE_LNC000923)
Source: RNAcentral